AAACUUCACAAUGGAGGCAACUCCGAUGAGGGAAUUCCAAGUGCUAGCACAUUAGUGUUAGCUUUUCUUAAGCAUAGAUAACUUAAGGAAUAAGGGCUGGGUAAGACGGGUGCCAGCCGCCGCGGUAAUACCCGCAGCCCAAGUGGUGGUCGAUUUUAUUGAGUCUAAAACGUUCGUAGCCGGUUCAUUAAAUCCUUGGGUAAAUCGGAUGGCUUAACUAUCCGAAUUCCGGGGAGACUGGUGAACUUGGGACCGGGAGAGGCAAGAGGUACUUUUGGGGUAGGGGUAAAAUCCUGUAAUCCUAAAAGGACCACCGGUGGCGAAGGCGUCUUGCUAGAACGGAUCCGACGGUGAGGGACGAAGCCCUGGGUCGCAAACGGGAUUAGAUACCCCGGUAGUCUAGGGUGUAAACGCUGCAGACUAGGUGUUGGAGGCCCUACGGGGGCACCCAGUGCCCGAGAGAAGUUGUUAAGUCUGCUACUUGGGGAGUACGUCCGCAAGGAUGAAACUUAAAGGAAUU
This 520-nucleotide ribosomal RNA is filed under the name uncultured bacterium. RNAcentral's name for it is "bacterial SSU rRNA". It matches the Rfam family "Archaeal small subunit ribosomal RNA", at positions 345 to 866 of the family's 1478-position model. The record is from RNAcentral.